Long non-coding RNA from Rhipicephalus sanguineus (brown dog tick), 463 nucleotides. RefSeq lists it as uncharacterized. NCBI's taxonomy places the organism in Eukaryota, Metazoa, Arthropoda, Arachnida, Ixodida, Ixodidae. The transcript has 3 exons. The record is from RefSeq and is a predicted model, not a curated record.
CAGAUACAUGGACAGAGCUCGCAAAACAGUUCAACAGUAACCAAGGCGUGACGUCCAGGGACCUCAGAAGUCUCAAGAAGUGUUGGGGAAAUAUGAAGCAGAAGUGGAAGGAGGAACGCGCGGAAGAGAAAAGUUUUCAAAACAGGUGAGCGGACCGCCCCGCCACCGAUGGAUUCCGUGUCGGCACUCGUUGGGGCAGUGGCAUCUCACAGGGCGACCCGCAUUCCGAAUGCCUACGACAGUGAUGGAGCGACGUACCUGGCACCAGUGUCAAGUGAACCCGUUCUCAGCUCCCACGGCCAAUGAUGACAGAAGAUGAUCCACCGCAUGACAUUUAUGAGGAUGACUACCAUCCAGGGAGCCACACCUGUGUGGGAGUUGACAACGACACCAACGCUACAGCACCCCCGACCGAUCUAGAGUCGACCGAAGUAGCUCCGCCAGCAACAGCUGCAAAUGUGAC